Molecule: ribosomal RNA, 497 nt
Filed under: uncultured bacterium
Lineage: Bacteria
Description: partial 16S ribosomal RNA
Rfam family: Bacterial small subunit ribosomal RNA
Source: RNAcentral
GAUGAACGCUGGCGGCGUGCCUAAUACAUGCAAGUCGAGCGAACGGACGAGAAGCUUGCUUCUCUGAUGUUAGCGGCGGACGGGUGAGUAACACGUGGAUAACCUACCUAUAAGACUGGGAUAACUUCGGGAAACCGGAGCUAAUACCGGAUAAUAUUUUGAACCGCAUGGUUCAAAAGUGAAAGACGGUCUUGCUGUCACUUAUAGAUGGAUCCGCGCUGCAUUAGCUAGUUGGUAAGGUAACGGCUUACCAAGGCAACGAUGCAUAGCCGACCUGAGAGGGUGAUCGGCCACACUGGAACUGGGCCACGGUCCAGACUCCUACGGGAGGCAGCAGUAGGGAAUCUUCCGCAAUGGGCGAAAGCCUGACGGAGCAACGCCGCGUGAGUGAUGAAGGUCUUCGGAUCGUAAAACUCUGUUAUUAGGGAAGAACAUAUGUGUAAGUAACUGUGCACAUCUUGACGGUACCUAAUCAGAAAGCCACGGCUAACUACGUG